Molecule: non-coding RNA, 728 nt
Organism: Paramuricea clavata
Lineage: Eukaryota; Metazoa; Cnidaria; Anthozoa; Malacalcyonacea; Plexauridae
Source: the annotation of a GenBank genome assembly
GGAAAAUUACACAACACAAAAUCACAAGCGACUGUGUAGGUCUUAUCGCCAAUGCCUAAUUUGCAAAAUCGCGGCAUGGUUAAAUCCGAUCCUGUGAUAAAUAUUCAUCAUCAAAUCACACCUAUCCAUUACCAAGUAAUAACUUUACAUACAGUACAUGCUAGCUUCAAUUACAAUGGAUUGACAUACAAAAGGCACAAAACAGCGCACGCAUUAUACGCGUGCACCUAAUAUACAAUAUUUCACGGCAUGGUCCACUUUCCAGACCCCAUUGAAAAUAUAAGAAACCAUCAAAUUAAUAAUGCUUAUAAGUAUAAACCACUAACCAAAGGUCCAAGACGCAUGUAGAGGUUCUAUUACCUAUCCCAAAAUUAAAAUACUAAACUUUAAAGUUAAUAUUAUUACUCCAUUCAGGUUUGCUGGUUUUUCUUUCAUUUCGCAGAUCUACAAGAAGUCGUUUCAUGAAGACAUGGGUGGCUUUGAUCAUGUUCAGGAAUUAAUUUGGUGCAGUUCAUGUGAUUCGCUGUUUACGUUGGCGUGAAUGAGGAUCGAUCGAUAAGCGUCUUAGCACACCAUUCAGUUGGAUGUUUUCGUGAAACCGAUCCUGCAGGCUGUAGAGCUCCAUUAUCCCAUGUGACCUAUCGCUAACAUAAGUGUGGGCUGAAGUAUACUUCCAUUCUAAGUACUUCUGGAGUUUACCAUCUUUUGCCAACGAUGUUGUUGCGUGG